ACAGCUCCCUUUUAAUACGCCUUUCGUAUCAGGAAGGUUUAAAAAAAAAUAAAACUAGUCUAACCGAAACAUUUUAGAACAAAAAGAGUCACAUUUUUUUUGUAAAAACUUCACUAAAUGCAAUAACUGUGAUUUAGGUUUCGUAGGCAGUUUUAUAGUUCUUUAUGAAAGUGUACACUGUUUUUGAGUGUACGAGUAUUUAAGCAGUUUUUUUUUAAAAACUGAGGUAGUUAACAAAUGUUAUACACAAACAUUUCCAAGUCUUAACUUGGUAGCCCCUGCUAUUUAAAAGCGGCAAUCCUCUAAGGUAGCGAAAUAAAUUGGCCCUUAAUUAGGGUCUAGUAUGAAAGGGCCAAUUUUUAACUUACUUAUUUUAUAAACUUCAGAAAAAUUAAAUUAUUAGUCAUAAUUCUAAUGGAUAAAAGCACUACGACAAGACCCUUGAAUCUAAAAAGUUUGUUGGGGAAAGAACCAUUAAACAAAGUUUCAAACUCUUAAAACACUAAGAUACUCAAGGGAUAACAGCGGGACCCACGUAUAGACGAAAUACCUCGUGCAUACCCGACCUCGAUGUUGGAUCAGUUUUUAUGCGUAAAAAAAAUGGGUUUGUUCACCCCAUAGUAAUCUACGUGAUCUGAGUUAAGAACGUUGCAAAACAGUUCAGAUUCUAUAGGCUUUAAGAACUUGUGUCUUUAUAGUACGAAAGGACCUAAAGGUAUU
RNAcentral lists this ribosomal RNA (720 nucleotides) under Paralongidorus litoralis. Its description in RNAcentral is "16S ribosomal RNA". The stretch from base 419 to 720 matches the Rfam family "Archaeal large subunit ribosomal RNA", at positions 2146 to 2773 of the family's 2987-position model. Lineage: Eukaryota; Metazoa; Nematoda; Enoplea; Dorylaimida; Longidoridae. The record is from RNAcentral.